Molecule: long non-coding RNA, 4005 nt
Organism: Cyprinus carpio carpio
Lineage: Eukaryota; Metazoa; Chordata; Actinopteri; Cypriniformes; Cyprinidae
Source: Ensembl
ACUUAUACUUAUUGUUUAAGUUAUACGUACUUAAUCAAAACAACCUAACUGCAAUUUGAUGUUACUUGGAAGGUGCAAUAACAACAACAACAAAAAAAAAAACGUGAGUUAUCGUAUUUUGCAAAUGAGCUCUUCAUAUAUACAGUAGGUGGCCAUCCAAAAUGAUGGUUCUACCGCCGCGCGUACCGCCGCUGUUGCGUCUGCAAAGUGCAUUUGCAGCUUUUGACCGCUGAGUGGCGCUUUAACCACAAGUUAUCAAACAAGCGCGUCAAAGCACAUUUUCGCAAAUAGCCGUCAGCUUUGCCUCGCUGGUGUGUUACAUUUGACAGCUGCAAUCAGAGAAAAUGAAAGAAAAACACAGUAGUUAAAAUAUUUAAUAUUCACAGAUGAACGUUUAGUACUUAUGUGGCAAGUGUAAUGUUGUUACACUAGAUUAUUGAAAUUAUUAUUAACUAAUGGCACUAACGCAGGAGGCUUAUUUUGAAAUUUGUAUUAGGGAAAAUUGCACAGUGAUGAAGAGUCAUGUGAUCGCAAGCACAAUAAUAUUGUCACUUAUUUCUUUUUACAUAUAUAAUUUGUAUUUCUUUGUUAUUAGUUUGGUUUUCUCCCUUUCUUAUGAAAUUGUUAAUCUAUAUAAAAUGUUUAGGAAGAACUGUUUACGUGAGUUACGUCGUCUGUAAGCACGAGGGAAGAGCUGAUCUCUCUUUCGCGGGAUGUCAUUGCGAUGAGAGGCACUGCUAGACCUGAUAUUCUCCUGUUACUACCUGAUGGUGUCUGUUAUACUUUGAUACAGGAUGUCAUUGCGAUGAGAGGCACUGCUAGACCUGAUAUUCUCCUGUUACUACCUGAUGGUGUCUGUUAUACUUUGAUACAGAAACUUCAGAAGCCGAAAGUAAACCACGUGACAACCGCAUCAUGGUGUGAGGUCUCUUUUAUUAUCAAAACACACAACGCAGAAGAAAACCCACUACACUUAUGAAGUCGUGUGUUUCUUAGAACGAAUUUAAACAGGAUAAAUAUCAAGCCUAUGAGCCUGUGCUUAUAUUUUCUCUAAGCUGCACAGUAUUACACCAUAUUUUAGAUUUGACACAUUUAAUAGGUGUGCAGUAUUAUUUAUAUAAUAUGAAUUAUGUGUUAUAUUAUUCUAAAGAAAUUGUGGUUUACGUUGCAUUGGAGCAUUAAAAGUGGUAGCCUAUUUUAGUGAGGUAGGCUACAUGGAUUUAUAUGCAAAAUGUCAAUAUUCUCACAUAUUAGGCUUAUAUUUUAAUUUAUAUUUUAAAAUUCCUUCAAUAAAACAGAAUGCAUUUUUGUCACGCACUACUUUAUUCGUUACCUGUCCUUUAUUUUGAUGGAUAACUGAUUAAGAAAUUGUUGCGUGUUUUAUAAAUUAUUUUCUUUUAGUAAAACGUGAGGCACUGUAUAAUUUCACUCCCAUUAUUUAGGCCUAAUUAAGCAAGAAACGAAUAAAAAUUAAACCUGCACGAUUUAGCUAAAAUCACUGAAACUCAAAAAAAAAAAAAAUGGAUGGAUUAAUAAAUCGUCCUCACGUUUAAACUCAAGUUCUCUCAUUAUAAUCAACAAAAUACACGAUGCAAAAAAAAAAAAAAAUUCACACCUUUAUUUCGACUCCUACAAGCUAUACAGAACUACCCCCCAAAAAAACAAACCCCCUCCAGCUGAACUGAAUUCAGUCUGUUUUUGGCUGUGAGGAACAUGUUACUGGGUUGAAACAUGCCAGCACUCACAUCAGCCCUACACUUUUUAUUAAUUAUUUUCUCGCAGCCCAUAUUAUUUUCACAAGACCAAUAAUAACAAAUUAUCAAUUGAUAAUUAAUUUGAGAAAAUCAUUGUUAUUUGUGAAGAUAAGCAUUUGAGGAAGGCUUUAAGACCAAGCGGAGUCCUCCGUCAGCUGCUCCCGCUUCACAGGCCGAGCGACUCGCGCUAACUGACCCAGCUUCACAGUCCGCGGUUUGAUUUUACAAAAUCAGUUUGCGCGAAUACAACUCAAUGAUCAUGAGCCCAACAUUUAGCAAGGCAGGAAAACAUUCAGUCUACAUGGAAGACAUAUUUCAUUGUAAGUUACAGAUGGUAGACAACCAAAAUGGGUAAUACCGCCGCGCGUACCGCCGCCGCAGGGCCGCGGCGUUAACUGCAAGUCAGUCGCGUGUUAAAUUAAUUCGCGAAACUACCGCCAGGUGGCGCAAAGGGACGGAUUGCGAACUGAAUGAAAUUGUAAAAUGAGAUAAAAGGAGGAGGUAAAACAAUAACAUUAUGAUAUAACAUUGUACCAUCUUUAAAAACCAUUAAAAAAUGUACAGUGAGUUAAUUUAAAAAUGUAGGAUAGUCUUAGGCUACAGUCUAGGUACUCAUCAAAAAUUAAAAGAAAGACCUUUACACAAAGGAUCUUGUUAUUAAACAGUCAUUAAAUAUAAGGCCUAUAUAUACGGAUAAAAAGCUAAAUGUUUUCAUUUCGGUUCAUUCUUGGUUUAAAAAAAAAAAAUCCUUCAGGUUCCAUUUGCAGAUCGAAAUGAGAACGGUCCAGCAUUUAGCAAUAAUUAUUAUUAUUCUUGAUUUUUCAAACUGCUAACACUUUGCAUUUUUGAAUUAUGCCUUUACUGUGUGACCAAAAAUUUAGUAUUUUCUGUUUCAGCUGUUUGAUCGCGCUGGGGCUUCGCGCACAUUCAUUGGAAACAGUAGCCGUUCACCGUGCCAUUCGCCGCGAGCAGCGGCCCACUUUGGCAUAUUUUUGCCAAUUAUGAUUUUUUUUUUCCGUUGACACUGAAACAUGCAUGAACUACAAAGCCUAUUUACCUAAUGAAUAAUAGUUAAGCUUGAAAUAGCCAACAUCAUGAAUAUGGAAACGUUUGGAUUUCUCCCAAAUGAGAGCCCAACCUUACCUUAUGGUUCGCUUUAAAUUAUUAUUCAUUUAUUUUUUUGUUUGUUUAUAGCUAAGCCUAUAUUAUUAUAUACUGCAAUUUUAUUUAUCCAUUAGAAUAAAAUAUUUUUAAUUCUUGUUCUGUUCUGAUAAAUUUGUUAAAUUUAAAAGAUUUGUUGUAAAGAGAAGGGAACUAAAAAUAUCCUGUUGGCACAUUAUUAGGCCCGCCGUUAUUAUUUCUGAAUGUAAUAAAAUGCAACUUAUACAUUACUUAUAUUUUUUUUCCUCUCACAAACUUAAUUUAUUUUAUAGCAUGUUUAAAAAUAAAUAAAUAAAUAAAUAAAUAAAUAAAUAAAUAAAAAAUGCAGCAAACGAAAAUAGCGAUUAAUCGGUUAAAAUUUGUUACUGUGGGUUAACAGUAAUUAUAAUUAUUAUAUACUUAGGAACAGAGUCUGGGCCUAAUCUAGGCUAUCCAGGGUUUUUUAUUUUUUUUAUUUUCAUUGCAUCUGAAAAUGACUUUGUGCAGCAAAUUCACUUCGCACGCUCAACCUGCCUCGCGUGUUGCUCAGCUGUGGACGAUUUCAAAAUGUUUAAUAUAAAGGUUGAUGUCACAUUUUAUACAGGAAUUGUUCAUUAAAAAAAAAAAAUCAAAUUAUAUUGAUAGUCUAAAUGAACUUAGACAAUAUAAUUAGAACUAUUUAACAUGCACUGUGACAUUUUACCCUUUUUAACUUAUAAACUCUUUGAGAUUUUAAAGUCAGUUUAAUAGUAUUGAAGUUCAAGUUUUUUAAAAAAAGGAUUAAUAUGCAAAAUGUCAAUAUUCUCAUAUAUUAGGCCUAUAUUUUAAUUUAUAUUUUAAAAUUCCUUUAAUAAAACAACAUGCAUUUUUGUUAUUCGUUACCUGUCCUUUAUUUUGACAGACAACUUCUUGGGAAAAUAUAUUUGUCUGUACACUGAUUAAGAAAUUGCUGCGUGUUUUAUAAAUUAUUUUCUUUAUUUUAGUAAAACGUGAGGCACUGUAUAAUUUCGUUCCCAUUAUUUAGGCCUAAUUAAAACAAGAAACGAAUAAAUUAAACCUGCACGAUUUAGCUAAAUCAUUGAAAGUCUAAAGAAUGGACGGAUUAAUAAAA